UGAGUGUUGAAUAUUCAUCACCUUUAUUAAUAAUAUAGUUUAACUAUAAGUAUAUAUAAUUUAAUUUUUAGUGAUGGCUGUGUUUAAUAACCAGAUUGCAAAAUUCCUGAACAUUUCACAGCUGGCUCUUAUGAACCUGCAUGAUCCUAGCCCAGCACAUCACUGCCCCUCCUCCCUUCAUUCCUCUCCUGUUCUCCCCCAGAUAAUCAUUAUCAGAGUGGGCUAUACAGACCAAUAUCUUGUGAGAAUGGAUUUUAGUGGAAAUCAGGUAUUAGUCCCUUUACAUGCAUCAGAAAGUAAAUAUGAUAUCCAUGGAAUGGUGAGAGGAUCCAGAAACAAAUUUAAUGGAAACAGGAAUUCAGAGCCCAGAGAUGAACCUGAAGCUAAAAGCACCUUUCCUACCCCACCAGGAAUUUUUAGAAAUCUUGGGAAAAUCUGUGUAUGUCCAUUGCCUAGAGCAUGGGCUGUUCUAGGAAAUGUAACAGUCUGGAACCAGCUAAUAUCUGGGGUAAUAAUACACACACACACACACAUAUGUACAAACAGAAAUAUUUGCAUAUGUUUAUAUAAUGGCUAUUAUUAAAGUGGAAUUCAAAGUUAUAUCACUUUUAGGAUAAAAAGAAGACUUCAAAGAAAUUCCCCUGUAGCAACCAUCUAGGCUAGAAGCUCCAGUCUCUUGGGAGUAUGCUUCAUUCUUCUCUGCUGUUUGGGACACCUAACAUGUUUCUCUUCCCUGAAAACUUGUGUUUGUCACCUGGUCUUGACAUUUUAAUCAGAUGACUCCCACGUCUGACUAGUCAUCAGAAUCUGCCUGGAGGCGUUUGAAAAAAUACAGAUUCCAAGAGCCCAUUCCUAGAAUGUUCUGAUUCAGUAGAUGGAGGCUUGGGAUUGGGAAUCUGAAUUCUGAAGACCCUGCCAGGUGACCUGCCAGGUGUGAUAGAGAAACCAUGAAAUGGGUCCAGGUCUAGGAUUGAGGCACAGCUCUGCCCUUCAUUGUGUGACUUAACGUGUCCCAUCUCCUUCUGGGUCAGCUUAUCUUUCAAGCUCUGACAUUCAGGAGAGUGCUAUGCAGCACUGCAGGGCAAGGAGGCCUCUCCCCCGCCCCCGCCCCCACCCCAUGGAAGGUCCUUUCCACCUGCACAUCAGCCCAGCCCCGUCUGCAUGCCAGCUUCCAUUUGAUGAGGAGAAAGAAUUGAGUUCUCCUUUUUGCAGUGAGAUGUCUUGAUUGCAGUACACUUUUAAAGCUUUUCUCUAACAUGGAAAACUUUCACUCCCAACUCAUUUGCCUGGACCAGAGGGACUCUGCAAGUCAGACUUCCUUCUAGAUGGAGAAAACUUGGUGUGGACUUUUAAAUCAGUUUAAAAAAAUGAUUAUUAACCUGCCUCAUGGGAUACAGCAUGCUCUGACUGAAGGCAGGAGGAGUAAGGGGGCCCCCAAGUAUCUAAUUUAACACCUGAAAAUUCCCGAGGAUGAUUAUACCGUGGAAGGAAGACAUAUUGAGGAUUGUAAGAAAAGGUUUAAUAAAAAAAUGUAAAUGGAAAGGCCAUAAAAUUCAAAUGAGGCUCAUUCCCUGGGUUGUAACAAGCUCUGUGCUCAGACCUUGUUAAUAGCUUUUAAAAAAAAAAAAUAAUUUGAUUGUAGCUUCUAUUUUUUCUGUCAGUGUAAUUAGAGCUUAAUUAAUUCCCCCCUAAAGGGGAAAAAGAGGACAAAAUGGUAUUUGAUCUGAGACAUGUACAGUGGGCAAAGCAAUUAGGAUCAGCAAGUUACUUUCUGUUACCUUUUUUCCUAGUUAGGUCUUCGGGGAGGGAGAAGGCUUUGGACAGAGGUCUCCAGGGUCUCUCCCUGGACCAGAUAAUCAGCAGUGCCAGGACAUGCAAUAAGGCUGAAGGAUUUUAUUUAGAUAGAUGUAAUGAAGUUAAAUAUAUAUGUAUAUGUAUAUUCCACAACUGUGGAAGCCUGCUGCAUCAAUUCUUUGGCAAUAAGGAGGCUUAGCUAAGUUUUGGAUAUAAAAUAUAGUUCAGAAACAAAGGUCAUGGAGAAAUAAUGUGAUCUUGGUAACAAUAUAGACAUGGGAUGGAAUCCCAUCUCCAUCACUGAAGCUGUGUGACUUUGCACACCUCUCUGGGCCUUUGUUUCUUAGAAUCUGUAAAACGAGAAGACCAGUAAGUAUUAUUGUACCUAACUGAUGGGCUGACCAUGAAGAGUAAAUGAAGUCAUGUUAACAAAAACACCAGGUGUAGGCAGUUGCUAAGUGACAGUGUGAAUUUCUUUUUUGGGUGGGAGGGGUCCCAAUUUCACAAUACAGUUUAGUGGAAUUAGUCUCGAGCAGUUCCCAGUAUUAGAAUUAAUUACAUUGAGCUUUCACGGCAAUGACUUAUUAUACCAAGCCUGUUAAUGCGACCUCUGGUGGCCUCAUAGGCUCAGGAGAAGCCACCGGCAGUGCAGGUGUGCUGGCUAAUUAGAGGAGAAAUAACACUCAUGAACCUCAAUCAGUUCACACUCAGGAGUUCAGGGAACUGUAUGUUGAAAGCCAGGUGCUUGUGGGACCCACUGAAUGGCAGAAAGUGAUCUAGGGUGGGGGUGUGUGGGUCACAGGAGGAUAGGGAGAGAGACAUCUGUCUUCCAAAAGCAAGCAAGUCAUCUGCCAGCUCAACUUCAGCAUCAUGCUGGGGCCUCCAAGGUGAUGAUGAGAAAAGAAGCCAAGGAGUAGCUCUCUCUCCAGUAUCCCAAAGUGCUCUGAGAUGAAAGCUUGGGGGCAGAACUGAAGUCUGCUUUUUACUUCCUGGCCUUUGCAAGUUAGUUUCCUCUACCUGAAAUGUUCACUUCGCCUGCUUCAUCAAAUUAGCCCCUCCUCUUUCUUCUGGGCAAUGAACUCUGAUAUUAAAUCCAAUACAGUUAUCUCCCCCUGUAAACACUUUUUUUUUCCUUUUUUUGGUCUUUUUGCCAUUUCUUGGGCCGCUCCCACGGCAUAUGGAGGUUCCUAGGCUAGGGGUCUAAUCGGAGCUGUAGCUGCCAGCCUACACCAGAGCCAGAGCAAUGCAGGAUCCGAGCCGCAUCUGCAACCUACACCACAGCUCACGGCAACGCCGGAUCGUUAACCCACUGAGCAAGGGCAGGGAUCGAACCCGCAACCUCAUGGUUCCUAGUCGGAUUCGUUAACCACUGCAUCACAAUGGGAACUCCUAAACACUUUUUCAAAGGAUAAUUUUAUUUGGUUACCCUCCACUAGAGUACAGAUUGUUUUGUUGUUUCUUUGUUUAUUUUUGCUCACCUCCAUAUCCUCCAUUUCCAGCUCAAUCUAAUAUUUUUCAGACAGCUUCUAAUGGCUGCCCACAGAUCUUGGCUUGUGGCUGCAGUAAUCCAACAACAGCCUCUCUGUCACAUCUUCUCUGAUUCUGACCCUUCUUCCUGCAUCUUAUACAGGAAGAUAAUCCAGAAUCACUUUCUCAACUUAAGAAUAUUAACUUAAUCAUAUCUAUAAUAUUUCUGAGGUAACCUAUUCAUAGGUUAAGGAAAUUAGAACCUAGAUGUCUUUUUGGAGGUUUUACUAUAUCUGCCACACUCUCUAAAAUGAUCUACAGGUUUAAUUCAAUCCUUACCACUAUCAUAGCUAGAUUUUUUUCAGAAACUAGCAAGCUGAUCUGAAAAUUCAUAUGACCCAGAAUGGCCAAAACAAUCUGAAAAAGAAUAGUAAAGUUGGACUUAUUUAAAGAUUUCAAAACUUAUUUGAAAGCUAUGGAAUCAAGACAGCAUGAUACUGGCAUAAGCCUAGUCAUAUAGAUCAAGGAAAUAGAACUGAAAGUCCAGAAAUAAAACUGCACAUUUAUGGUGCAUCGACUUUUGACAAAGGCACAAAGACAAUUCAACAAGGGAAAGAAUAGUCUUUUCAAAAAAUGAUAUUGAGUAACUGGAUAUUUACAAGUAAAAGAUCGAAACUAGAUCCCUACCUCACACCAAAAAUUAACUCAAAAAUAAGAUUGAAAGUAUAAAACUCCCAGGAAAAAAAAAUAGGAGUAUAUCUUUGUAACUUUGGGUUAGGCAAAAGCUUUCUUAGAUACAACAUCAAACACAACUGACAAAAAAAUUAGAUAAAUUGAACUUCAUCAAAGUUAAAAUGUUUGUGCUCCGAAAGACAGCAUAAUAAAAGUUAAAAGGCAACUCACAGAUUAAGAAAUAAUAUUUUCAACUGUUGUAUCAGAUGAGAACCUUGUAUCAAGAAUACAUGAAGAAGUCUGAAAACACAACAAUUAAAAAAAAAAACAAAACUCAAUUUACCAUGAGGAAGAGAAGUUCCCAUCGUGGAUCAGCAGAAACAAAUCUGACUGGCAUCCUUGAGGAUGUAGGUUUGAUGCCUGGCCUUGCUCAGUGGGUAAGGAUUCGGCAUUGCCAUGAGAUGUGGUGGAGCAACACAGCUCGGAUCCUGAGUUGCUAUGGCUGUGGUGUAGGCUGGCCGCUACAACUCUGAUUCACCCCCUAGCCUGGGAACCUCCACAUGCCUCAGGUGCAGCCCUAAAAAGACAAAAAAAAAAAAAAAUGAAGAAUGGAUUUCAAUAGCCAUUUCUCCAAAGAUAGUAACAAAUGGCCAAUAAAUACAAGAGUAGAUGCUAAAUAUCAUUAGUCAUUAGAGAAAUGCAAAUCAAAACCUUAACGAGAUACCUCUUCAUAUCCAGUGUAAUGGCUUUAAUCAAAAAGACAAACAAGGAGUUCCCAUCGUGGCUCAGAGGUUAACAACUCUGACUGUAUCCAUGAGGACACAGGUUCAAUCCCUGGCCUUGCUCAGUGGGUUAAGGAUCCGGUGUCAACGUGAGCUGUGGUGUAGGUCACAGACAUGGCUGAGAUCUGGUGUUGCUGUGGCUGUGGUUUAGGCCAGCGGCCACAGCUCUGAUUCGACCCCUAGCCUCGGAACCUCCGUGUGCCUAUG
Molecule: long non-coding RNA, 4922 nt
Filed under: Sus scrofa (pig)
Lineage: Eukaryota; Metazoa; Chordata; Mammalia; Artiodactyla; Suidae
Description: lncRNA (ENSSSCG00000055705.1)
Source: RNAcentral